Necator americanus (New World hookworm) is the source of this 45-nucleotide non-coding RNA. The record is from Rfam. Lineage: Eukaryota; Metazoa; Nematoda; Chromadorea; Rhabditida; Ancylostomatidae.
CCAACGGCCUUAUUUAGGGCCACCAACUUCCAAAUACAAAUCGAA